Molecule: long non-coding RNA, 1600 nt
Organism: Helianthus annuus (common sunflower)
Lineage: Eukaryota; Viridiplantae; Streptophyta; Magnoliopsida; Asterales; Asteraceae
Exons: 6
Source: RefSeq, a predicted model, not a curated record
GAAAACGAGUUUGGUAAUUAAACCCCGUUAAUACUAAAGACGGGGAAAGUACCGUUAGUGGUAAAAGUAAACUGUCAAAUAUUAGGAAUUUAUUUAAUAAUCCUAAUAUUUAUUUGAAGUGAAUAAAAAGCUUUUAAGAAAUAAAGUGAUAGAAGGCCCGAGUUAACGGGACCCGAAAUAAACUUAGUCAUAAAUAUUCUCGAACCCGCAAAGUUAACUAGGAAUAUUAAACCUAGUUAAUAAGUGGGGAAUAUUGUUAGAAAUAAGUAGGUUGUUCCCUACUUAAUUAACUAACCAAAUUAGAGGGGCCAAUAUUGUUAAAAUUGAAACUUAACUUUAAUUAAUUAAAUAAAACACACCAAACACCCCACAAGGAGGUGUCUGGUCGUACAAGAAGAACAGGGGGGCGAUCCCCACACAUCAAAACCCUAAGUCUUCACCAAACUUGCAAAUUGAUGGCUCAAUCCAAGUCAAAAUCGAAAAUCAAGCAUAGAUUAUUGAUCCCCAUUGAAAGGGGAGUCAUAAGUUUGACUCUGACAAGCUAGGUAGGAGCUUGGAAAUGAACGGGUCAAAUGGAUACAAGUUCAAGUAUGAAGCUCGCAAGGAUGCAAGGAGUAGAUAUCCAAUGGAUACUCGCAUCGCUCUUAAUUAGCAAUUAUAAAGCAAGGUGAAUGUCGAGGGUCCCGGAUGAAGAUCGAGCAUCGAGCAAGAACUGAACACACAUUAAAUAAAGCUUCCGCAACGUUGUUUUGUCGUUAUUCUAAACGGUGAUUUAAAUCACAUUAUGUAUAUCACUUAAAUUGUAAAAGUUUUUAAUAAACCCGCAUUUUGUACAGUAUGUGUGGUCUUAACUACACAUCUAAUUGUGGUAUUUUCAUGCUAAAUUGUAAUUUAGUAACUAGGGUGUUACAAGUUGGUAAUCAGAGCUCAUGGUUAAAGAUUAAGGUGUGUUCGGUUCGAGGCUUGAUCGCAAAUCCGGUAAGUACAUGUAUGUUAAUAGCUUAGCAUGCUAAAGUGUUGUAAACAACACAUAGGGCUAUCGUGUGAUACACGUUACCCCAAUUAAAAUGAUUAAUAUGGUUGACGAAAAUACGCGCGUUGACGCGUAUAGUAAAAAAAAAAAAGCCUUAUAUUAUAAUACGGGCGAUUAUUGAAGUUGAAAUUACUAACUCUUGUGAAUGUUUUAAUUGAAGGACACUCGCGUCUGAAGAUGACGAGAGUUGAACAAAUUGCGGAUAUGAUGAUGGAACGGUCCGAGAUGUGACAAGAAGAGCAUACUCAUCAAGGACCUAAAUCGCGUAACGAUCGCAAAUAAGUAAUGGCAAGGAAUGCCCGUCGGGGCAAGCAUUACCAGUUUGACUCUGACAAGCUAGGUAGGAGCUUGGAAAUGAACGGGUCAAAUGGAUACAAGUUCAAGUAUGAAGCUCGCAAGGAUGCAAGGAGUAGAUAUCCAAUGGAUACUCGCAUCGCUCUUAAUUAGCAAUUAUAAAGCAAGGUAUUAAACCGGGUUAGUAAGUUGAUCCGAGCCAGGUAUGUAUAAUAGAUUAACUCAUCAUGUAGAACUUGAAGUUCUAUGAAAGUUAGGCAAAAUAAAAAAAAA